This 447-nucleotide ribosomal RNA is filed under the name uncultured bacterium. Its description in RNAcentral is "bacterial SSU rRNA". It matches the Rfam family "Bacterial small subunit ribosomal RNA", at positions 329 to 792 of the family's 1533-position model. The record is from RNAcentral.
UUCCAGACUCCUACGGGAGGCAGCAGUGGGGAAUAUUGGGCAAUGGGCGCAAGCCUGACCCAGCAACGCCGCGUGAAGGAUGAAGGUUUUCGGAUUGUAAACUUCUGUCGCGAGGGACGAAGAAUGACGGUACCUCGUAAGAAAGCCCCGGCUAACUACGUGCCAGCAGCCGCGGUAAUACGUAGGGGGCAAGCGUUGUCCGGAAUGACUGGGCGUAAAGGGAGUGUAGGCGGCCUUGUAAGUUAGAUGUGAAAUCCUACGGCUUAACCGUAGAACUGCAUCUAAAACUGUGAGGCUGGAGUGCAGGAGAGGUGAGUGGAAUUCCUAGUGUAGCGGUGGAAUGCGUAGAUAUUAGGAGGAACACCAGAGGCGAAGGCGACUCACUGGACUGUAACUGACGCCGAGGCUCGAAAGCGUGGGGAGCAAACAGGAUUAGAUACCCCGGUA